CAACUCUCAACCUCAUUUUUAUCCCAAUUGAACCAUAGGAGAGAGAAAAAAAGAAAGAAUAAAAGAAUAAAAAAAAGAAAAACGAAGAGAAAAGAUUAGAGGACGCUUGGCCUUGGAAGAGAAAAGAGAAAACUAAGAGGCUUUCCUCCCCACCCACACACCAUUGUUGAGGUUUGAAAAGAUUUUGGUGGUUUGCCUUGUGGGUUUCAAGCAAUGAUCAAUAAAGAUCCACGAAACCCAAGGCAUGCAUGUGGAAGAAUCUUGGAAUGCAUGGUUAUUUUGAGUAGAUUAAGUGGUGGUUUUCAAGAUCGAAGGUAGUUGGAUCCUAAGUCAAGGUGCUCCCUCCUAUUCAUCUUUCGGUAGGUUCACUACGACUCUAAUGAUAGCACCCAUGGCCAGAGUCACUCCGCUAGUUGUCAAUGGUCUGUUGUAUGGUUAUAAGUGAUGGCUUAAUGUAAAUUGUGAGAUUUGUUGUGAACUUUGUAUGUACUUGGUUUUCAUGAUUUAAAUUUUCAUAAGAUGGUUAUUAGAAAUUACAAGUUUUUGAUCCUAAAGAAAAAGAAGUGAUAGAUGGACUACUGACGGAUUUACAUAGAGAAGCUUGCUUGGGACUGGUGGGCUAUGCCUAUUAGGCCUAUACGUCGGUCAUGGCCGGAGGUUUUGGGCUGGGACAGUAAUUGUGAGAAAAUGUUUGUGGCAGCAAAGAUCUAUAAGGUUUGAAGGAGAAUAAUUGCAUGCAUGUCACCAAACCCUUGUUAAAUGGUGAAAAUUAAGGUAUAAAGAAGAGGGCUUGGGAGGAAUAUUGAAGUGCAUGAAAGAUCAAAGCCAUUUUAAAGGUAAGCAUGCAAUGAAAAUUGAUUGUGCUAUCUUGGGUACGAUUGGGAAGAAUGUUUAUACUAGUUAUGGUUUUGAUGUUGUGUGAAUGUAAUGUUUUGAAAAAGUAAAA
Molecule: non-coding RNA, 946 nt
Organism: Theobroma cacao (cacao)
Lineage: Eukaryota; Viridiplantae; Streptophyta; Magnoliopsida; Malvales; Malvaceae
Source: RefSeq, a predicted model, not a curated record